CGCUGGCGGCGUGCUUAACACAUGCAAGUCGAACGGAAAGGCCCUGCUUUUGUGGGGUGCUCGAGUGGCGAACGGGUGAGUAACACGUGAGUAACCUGCCCUUGACUUUGGGAUAACUUCAGGGAACUGGGGCUAAUACCGGAUAGGAGCUCCUGCUGCAUGGUGGGGGUUGGAAAGUUUCGGCGGUUGGGGAUGGACUCGCGGCUUAUCAGCUUGUUGGUGGGGUAGUGGCUUACCAAGGCUUUGACGGGUAGCCGGCCUGAGAGGGUGACCGGCCACAUUGGGACUGAGAUACGGCCCAGACUCCUACGGGAGGCAGCAGUGGGGAAUAUUGCACAAUGGGCGGAAGCCUGAUGCAGCAACGCCGCGUGCGGGAUGACGGCCUUCGGGUUGUAAACCGCUUUCGCCUGUGACGAAGCGUGAGUGACGGUAAUGGGUAAAGAAGCACCGGCUAACUACGUGCCAGCAGCCGCGGUGAUACGUAGGGUGCGAGCGUUGUCCGGAUUUAUUGGGCGUAAAGGGCUCGUAGGUGGUUGAUCGCGUCGGAAGUGUAAUCUUGGGGCUUAACCCUGAGCGUGCUUUCGAUACGGGUUGACUUGAGGAAGGUAGGGGAGAAUGGAAUUCCUGGUGGAGCGGUGGAAUGCGCAGAUAUCAGGAGGAACACCAGUGGCGAAGGCGGUUCUCUGGGCCUUUCCUGACGCUGAGGAGCGAAAGCGUGGGGAGCGAACAGGCUUAGAUACCCUGGUAGUCCACGCUGUAAACGGUGGGUACUAGGUGUGGGGUCCAUUCCACGGGUUCCGUGCCGUAGCUAACGCUUUAAGUACCCCGCCUGGGGAGUACGGCCGCAAGGCUAAAACUCAAAGGAAUUGACGGGGCCCCGCACAAGCGGCGGAGCAUGCGGAUUAAUUCGAUGCAACGCGUAGAACCUUACCUGGGUUUGACAUGGAUCGGGAGUGCUCAGAGAUGGGUGUGCCUCUUUUGGGGUCGGUUCACAGGUGGUGCAUGGCUGUCGUCAGCUCGUGUCGUGAGAUGUUGGGUUAAGUCCCGCAACGAGCGCAACCCUUGUUCACUGUUGCCAGCACGUUAUGGUGGGGACUCAGUGGAGACCGCCGGGGUCAACUCGGAGGAAGGUGGGGAUGACGUCAAGUCAUCAUGCCCCUUAUGUCCAGGGCUUCACGCAUGCUACAAUGGCUGGUACAGAGAGUGGCGAGCCUGUGAGGGUGAGCGAAUCUCGGAAAGCCGGUCUCAGUUCGGAUUGGGGUCUGCAACUCGACCUCAUGAAGUCGGAGUCGCUAGUAAUCGCAGAUCAGCAAUGCUGCGGUGAAUACGUUCCCGGGGCUUGUACACACCGCCCGUCAAGUCAUGAAAGUUGGUAACACCCGAAGCCGGUGGCCUAACCGUUGUGGGGGAGCCGUCGAAGGUGGGACUGGUGAUU
Molecule: ribosomal RNA, 1435 nt
Filed under: uncultured organism
Description: 16S ribosomal RNA
Rfam family: Bacterial small subunit ribosomal RNA
Source: RNAcentral